Molecule: long non-coding RNA, 1155 nt
Organism: Canis lupus familiaris (dog)
Lineage: Eukaryota; Metazoa; Chordata; Mammalia; Carnivora; Canidae
Exons: 4
Source: RefSeq, a predicted model, not a curated record
UGAUUCAGCACUUUGGGCUCACCGUGCCUGACACCUGUUUUAUUAAGCGUGCCCGUGUGUCAAACACCGCAGAAUGAAAAGAAAGGUGUUUUUGUUGACUGGAACUGUGUCUCCUCACUCUGGCCCUUCCCUUGCCCAUCUGAGCCCAAGAGAGCUUGAGGCCAAGGAAAGGGAAGAAACCAAAGUUGCCUGGGACAAUGUCCAAUCUGACAAGGCCGUAAAUGAUCUAUAAAAAUCCUAAGACAAAAUGCUCAGGAAGGAAGAAACUCUAAUUAAGGAAAUCCUGAAUGCCCGAAGCCUGCUCAUGAAUACGAGGGACAUAAUAACAGGCAAAGUGGAGAAGCUCAUAAAGGAGGAUGAAGCCUCAGCCUCGUCACAGCUUUUAUAGGGCACCGAUCAGCCAUGCUGGGCCCUGUGCUGAGCCCGGGGAGCAGUAAUGAGUAUCGCGGCCCUGACCAGGGUACAGCCGGGGAGAGGAAGGACAGGCCAAAGAGUGUGUGAAAAGGAUGCCAGCCUGGCGCUCUGGUGUAGACGGACUUCUCCAAACUUUGGGUGAACCCUCUGCCCAGUGCACAGAUGCAGGACCAUAGGAUGAGGGGGACGGCUGGGUUUCGACUACCUGCUGUGUUGUCAGGCACUGUGCCAGGCAGGGAGAGAACACUGAGCCCCGCCGAGAUCACACAGCGCCCCGGUGGCCUGGCACACGCACAAGGAGCUCGCAGAAUGCCGCACUGAGCCUUAAAGGCAUGAGAUGAGAAUUAUCCUGGGAAUAGGAAGAAGGUUGAAGUAUAUACAUGAUUCCCAGAUUCUGUAUUUGAGAAUUUGCCAACUCGCUAAAAUUUCCUUGCAAUCCCCAAAUCAAUACCUUGAGGCACCUUUGUGGUCAUUUUUGGCACACGCAUGACGUGGGGGGAAAUAGGAGUUGCUCAACAUGCACAAUCCCAGCUGAGGACCAACAACGUGACGCUCUGCCUCUUGUUUCAGUUUUCAUACUAUAAAUAAGGGUCUUUCUCGAGGUCGGUUUAGUGCUACCCUUUUCACAUUUUUCUGCUUUUUCUUGGUAAUUUCUCUGUUUAAAAUGGCUCCUGAGCAUAGUGCCAAAGUGCUGACCAAUGUUCCCUCUUUUUUUUUUUUUUUAGAUUGUAUUUAUUUAUU